CGCCUGUGCGGCUGGCGGGAACACACCCGCCUGCUGCGGACGGGCGAGGCCGACGCCGCCCUCAUGUUCGAGCCCUACGACCCGGGCGGC
RNAcentral lists this transfer RNA (90 nucleotides) under Acrocarpospora pleiomorpha. RNAcentral's name for it is "tRNA-Arg". The record is from RNAcentral. Lineage: Bacteria; Bacillati; Actinomycetota; Actinomycetes; Streptosporangiales; Streptosporangiaceae.